Molecule: long non-coding RNA, 389 nt
Organism: Patella vulgata (common limpet)
Lineage: Eukaryota; Metazoa; Mollusca; Gastropoda; Patellidae
Exons: 3
Source: RefSeq, a predicted model, not a curated record
CAGCGUUUGAGUGUAAAGGAGCUAAACACCUAUAUUUCGGCACCUAGAAAUGGAACAAAUGGGUCGCAACGCAUAUAAUAUAAAUGUUUUUAUUGUGUCUUAAAUAUUGGAUACCCGAAGCCCAUCUUUUCAAGGCUUUCAUUUUCAACGGAUGUAAGCAAGAUUCUGAUUGUAACAAUGGUUGCUGUGAGCACAGUUUCUUUAAUAGUCGAUGUGUGGCUAAAAGUCAGUAUCUACAAGCAUGCUCAAGUACCUCAUCAUGUGGCUGUGCUACAGGUUUGACCUGCGUAAAGGAAACUGAUGUUACCAGUGUUGCUAUUGAAGUUCAUGCUGGAGGAAAUGGCAUGGUCUGUGAACAAACCGCAACAACAGGUUCUCCAACAACAGCA